GUACUACUGAAGAGUCCCAUACUAGAACGAAAUGGCUGUUCAGUAC
Molecule: non-coding RNA, 46 nt
Filed under: Schistosoma haematobium
Lineage: Eukaryota; Metazoa; Platyhelminthes; Trematoda; Strigeidida; Schistosomatidae
Source: RNAcentral